GGAAGUAAAAGUCGUAACAAGGUUUCCGUAGGUGAACCUGCGGAAGGAUCAUUACCGAGUGAGGGCCCUCUGGGUCCAACCUCCCACCCGUGUUUAUUUUACCUUGUUGCUUCGGCGGGCCCGCCUUAACUGGCCGCCGGGGGGCUCACGCCCCCGGGCCCGCGCCCGCCGAAGACACCCUCGAACUCUGUCUGAAGAUUGUAGUCUGAGUGAAAAUAUAAAUUAUUUAAAACUUUCAACAACGGAUCUCUUGGUUCCGGCAUCGAUGAAGAACGCAGCGAAAUGCGAUACGUAAUGUGAAUUGCAAAUUCAGUGAAUCAUCGAGUCUUUGAACGCACAUUGCGCCCCCUGGUAUUCCGGGGGGCAUGCCUGUCCGAGCGUCAUUACUGCCCUCAAGCACGGCUUGUGUGUUGGGCCCCGUCCUCCGAUCCCGGGGGACGGGCCCGAAAGGCAGCGGCGGCACCGCGUCCGGUCCUCGAGCGUAUGGGGCUUUGUCACCCGCUCUGUAGGCCCGGCCGGCGCUUGCCGAUCAACCCAAACUUCUAUAGGUUGACCUCGGAUCAGGUAGGGAUACCCGCUGAACUUAAGCAUAUCAAUAAGCGGAGGA
RNAcentral lists this unclassified non-coding RNA (607 nucleotides) under Penicillium egyptiacum. RNAcentral describes it as "partial contains 18S rRNA, ITS1, 5.8S rRNA, ITS2 and 28S RNA". The stretch from base 231 to 383 matches the Rfam family "5.8S ribosomal RNA". The record is from RNAcentral. Lineage: Eukaryota; Fungi; Ascomycota; Eurotiomycetes; Eurotiales; Aspergillaceae.